CCUACGGGCGGAGCAGUGGGGAAUCUUAGACAAUGGGCGCAAGCCUGAUGCAGCCAUGCCGCGUGUGUGAAGAAGGCCUUCGGGUUGUAAAGCACUUUCAGCGGGGAGGAAGGCGUUAAGGUUAAUAACCUUGUCGAUUGACGUUACCCGCAGAAGAAGCACAGGCUAACUCCGUGCCAGCAGCCGCGGUAAUACGGAGGGUGCAAGCGUUAAUCGGAAUUACUGGGCGUAAAGCGCACGCAGGCGGUCUGUCAAGUCGGAUGUGAAAUCCCCGGGCUCAACCUGGGAACUGCAUUCGAAACUGGCAGGCUAGAGUCUUGUAGAGGGGGGUAGAAUUCCAGGUGUAGCGGUGAAAUGCGUAGAGAUCUGGAGGAAUACCGGUGGCGAAGGCGGCCCCCUGGACAAAGACUGACGCUCAGGUGCGAAAGCGUGGGGAGCAAACAGGAUUAGAUACCCCUGUAGUC
This 464-nucleotide ribosomal RNA is filed under the name uncultured Klebsiella sp. RNAcentral's name for it is "bacterial SSU rRNA". It matches the Rfam family "Bacterial small subunit ribosomal RNA", at positions 338 to 795 of the family's 1533-position model. The record is from RNAcentral. Lineage: Bacteria; Pseudomonadati; Pseudomonadota; Gammaproteobacteria; Enterobacterales; Enterobacteriaceae.